UGGGGAAUUUUGGACAAUGGGCGAAAGCCUGAUCCAGCAAUGCCGCGUGUGUGAAGAAGGCCUUCGGGUUGUAAAGCACUUUUGUCCGGAAAGAAAUCCUUGGCUCUAAUACAGUCGGGGGAUGACGGUACCGGAAGAAUAAGCACCGGCUAACUACGUGCCAGCAGCCGCGGUAAUACGUAGGGUGCAAGCGUUAAUCGGAAUUACUGGGCGUAAAGCGUGCGCAGGCGGUUUGCUAAGACCGAUGUGAAAUCCCCGGGCUCAACCUGGGAACUGCAUUGGUGACUGGCAGGCUAGAGUAUGGCAGAGGGGGGUAGAAUUCCACGUGUAGCAGUGAAAUGCGUAGAGAUGUGGAGGAAUACCGAUGGCGAAGGCAGCCCCCUGGGCCAAUACUGACGCUCAUGCACGAAAGCGUGGGGAGCAAAACAGGAUUAGAUACCCCUGGUAGUCCACGCCCUAAACGAUGUCAACUAGUUGUUGGGGAUUCAUUUCCUUAGUAACGUAGCUAACGCGUGAAGUUGACCGCCUGGGGAGUACGGUCGCAAGAUUAAAACUUCAAAGGAAUUGACGGGGUCAUAGCUG
RNAcentral lists this ribosomal RNA (582 nucleotides) under uncultured bacterium. Its description in RNAcentral is "partial 16S ribosomal RNA". It matches the Rfam family "Bacterial small subunit ribosomal RNA", at positions 355 to 932 of the family's 1533-position model. The record is from RNAcentral.